RNAcentral lists this ribosomal RNA (301 nucleotides) under uncultured bacterium. RNAcentral's name for it is "partial 16S ribosomal RNA". It matches the Rfam family "Bacterial small subunit ribosomal RNA", at positions 509 to 807 of the family's 1533-position model. The record is from RNAcentral.
CAGUAGCCGCGGGAAUACGUAGGGUGCGAGCGUUAAUCGGAAUUACUGGGCGUAAAGCGUGCGCAGGCGGUCAUAUAAGACAGAUGUGAAAUCCCCGGGCUCAACCUGGGACCUGCAUUUGUGACUGUAUGGCUAGAGUGUGUCAGAGGGGGGUAGAAUUCCACGUGUAGCAGUGAAAUGCGUAGAUAUGUGGAGGAAUGCCGAUGGCGAAGGCAGCCCCCUGGGAUAACACUGACGCUCAUGCACGAAAGCGUGGGGAGCAAACAGGAUUAGAUACCCCUGUAGUCCCUGUCUCUUAUAC